GGGGUCGGGAUAUCGCGAUAUGGGGGGGUCGGGAUAUCGCGAUAUGGGGGGGGUCGGGAUAUCGCGACAGAGCCGCCCUGUCGCGACCUGGUCUCCCUAUCGCGACAGUCGCGACAUGGCCGCCAUAUUGGAACUGUCCACCUAUCGCGACACGGUCUCUCUAUCGCGAUAUGACCGCUCUAUCGCGACAUGACCGCUCUAUCGCGAUAUGGUCUCUCUAUCGCGAUAUGACCUCUCUAUCGCGAUAUGGCGGCCCUAUCGUGACUAUCGCGACAUGGUCUCUCUAUCGCGACAUGACCUCUCUAUCGCGAUAUGGUGUCGUUGUCCCCUCCCCUCCCCCGCAGAGGGCGGCACCGACCCCGCCCAGAACCCGGCGCUGGCGACGGCGCUGAGACACUGCCGGACACACAACGUCCCCAAAGUGACCGUCCUGGGGGCACUCAGGGUGAGUGACCACUGAGUGACCACUGACCAACUGACCACUGAGUGACCACUGACCCACCCUGAGUGA
Molecule: long non-coding RNA, 511 nt
Filed under: Parus major (Great Tit)
Lineage: Eukaryota; Metazoa; Chordata; Aves; Passeriformes; Paridae
Description: lncRNA (ENSPMJG00000004428.1)
Source: RNAcentral